Molecule: ribosomal RNA, 430 nt
Filed under: Stanwellia nebulosa
Lineage: Eukaryota; Metazoa; Arthropoda; Arachnida; Araneae; Nemesiidae
Description: partial 16S ribosomal RNA
Rfam family: Bacterial large subunit ribosomal RNA
Source: RNAcentral
UAAUUGAAUUUAUUAUUAGUAAAACCUGCUCAAUGAUAUUUAAAUAGCCGCAGAAAUCUGUGCUAAGGUAGCAUAAUCAUUUGCCUAUUAAUUUCAGGCUAGAAUGAAUGGUUAAACAUGUAAAUUAUUUUAUUAAAUUUAUUCAUUUAAUUUUACUUGUAAGUAAAAAGGCUUACAUUAUUAGAAGGACGACAAGACCCUAUCAAACUUUACAUUUUUGUUUCGCUGGGGAAGCGGAAAAAUAAAAUCUUUAUUAAAUUCUUAAACACAUCUAUUAUAUUAAAUUUUACUAAGUUACUGUAGGGAUAACAGCAUAAUAUUCUUAUAAAGUUCUUAUUUUUAAGAAAGUUUAUGACCUCGAUGUUGAAUUAAAUAUUCUAUUAAUAGAGCAAAAUCUUAAUAAGAAAGUCUGUUCGACUUUUAAAAUUUU